Non-coding RNA from Varroa destructor (honeybee mite), 4828 nucleotides. The record is from RefSeq and is a predicted model, not a curated record. NCBI's taxonomy places the organism in Eukaryota, Metazoa, Arthropoda, Arachnida, Mesostigmata, Varroidae.
UCCAGCAUUAUUUGAAAAAGGCUUAGAUUUUCCCUAUUAUUUUUCUUUUUAUAUAUAGUAGCUUAGCUUACGAAUUGCAAGCGGAAAUUUUGUAUGCACAUUUCAUAAAUCGUUGUUCCUGUUACCUGUUCGUUAAAACGGUUUAAUUUUUACUUUGUGUGAACGUAGAGGCGUACCGUCUGUGCAAACGUUAAACACCCGGAUGUGCGAUGAUAGCAGUGCUAACGUAAUCCGAAAAACUCUUGACAGAUCGACAAUAAAAGGCAGAGUUGUGUUCCUAUUGCGUUGAGUGUAAACGAGACCUGGAGAAAGUUGUAAUCUUGCACCCAAUAAAAAUAUUGCUUCAAGGAAUUGGUGUAGUGACUGGUCUACGUUCGCUUUCGCGUUGUCGAACACAACUUGUGCCUCACUGUUCCACGAUUACAGUUAUGACAUGACGUUCAUUUAGCUCCAAUAACAACUGAGGAAGAUUGAAAAUUCUGCGGGAGCUGGUAUAAUGGACAGCGAUUUCUUUUGGAGACGCUACUCGCCUAAAGAACUCGACGGCUACAGCGAAGAUACACUAAAAGGAAUCACUGAUGACCUUCGCUGCAAAAUAAAAGAUGCGUUGUGGGAAUUAGCCGAAUUGGAAGAAGAAAAUGCUUGCCUUGACGUACAGGCGUCGGCUAGAAUGGUGGUUAUUGAUCAACUUCUCGACCUUCAUACCGAGAGAACGCGUGAUCUCGACACCUACUUUCGUGGCGUACAAAUGUCGGUAAAGGGAAUUCGGCACAAAAAGCGUUCACCGUCAAUACAACAACCACGGGGAAAGUUUGUUACGCCGAGCGACAAGGGUGAAGAAACACCUAGUGAAAAUUCGCUAUCCAAACCGGAACAGACCAUCAAAACGAGCUAAAUAUUCUAGGUAUUCGUCUUCAUUCGAAAGUUAUGUACAGCACCGAUACGAUUACUGAUGACAGAAGCAUUAGACCGUUAGUUAGUCGUACAGAUAGAUAAUGUUUGUUAAUUGAAAUUUUAGUCUCGGUGAUAGCUUAGUGGGUUCGAAGUCGAGCAUAGACACCAUUUCUUUUGUACUGGGAGUUAGUCGCGUGAUGGAAUAUCUAUAUAUAAUGGCGAUGCCGGACGUAAAACUAAAGACACAGAAAGCUUUGAGCCUGGGGUUAAUGGGCUUGAAUGCCUCUCUGCACAGUGAUAAAAUUCAAAAGCGUGCAAAAAAUACAUACGCCUGCAAGAGGAGUAAAACCUAAUGGAAAUGAAUUUGUAAGAAUGAAACCUAUUUUAUACACAUUUAUACUUUUGCUAUGGAAAAUCAAAUGCUGCAAUAAGAUGGACUUUUUCAAUUGUGUUUCUGAAUCAUAUUUGGCACGAUAAAUAAUCAUAAAGGAUAGGCUCAGUAAUACACCGGCAUACAAACUUUUAAUUCUUGAGUCUGAACAAUCCUUCGAAUGGGAAUGUUCCUACAAAUAACACCGCUUUCUGCUUCUUAGACUCACUUGGCAAUUGCUUAAUAGGGCAGUAUAAGCUAAACGAUUCGGCAGAGUAACAACUAUCAUUUUUAACUAAUUUACGAAUUAUUAUUGAUUGUAUCCGGAUUCACGGUCCAGACACACUUGAUUGAGUCUGAUCAAAAGUCAAACUUUUUAAAAAAUAUUGAGCUUUUGAUAUCAUCUCGUUUUGCAUUUGUUGUCUACCGUAUUGUAUUGGAUUCGAACAGCGCAGCUACUGCAACGCUUAAGACCAUUAUUGGAAAUCUUCACGAAAAUUUGAUUCUUACGCCUUCCUUUCUAACUCACAUAAACUAAUGCUAAAGCGAUUUCAAUUAAUUUACUACAAAUGUGUAUUAUUUCGCAUUCGAGCGAAAGCGUAUAACCUUAGUGUUUGUAUUGCAUUUUGAAGAGGGGAAAAAGCCUUAUUUUUUUAAGAUGAAAAGAACCUAAUCAUGUUACAGCCAGUACAUACGAGCUUUUUAACUUUUUUAAAAAAGAAAAGACGCUAGGAACCUAUGGUAAACAAGCUUAUAAAUUAAGUGCCUGAAUAAGCGUUUUUCUGUAAAAGAUCCAAUACGAAGAUCGUCAUUCUUUCUGAGGGGAUCCGUUGUCAGUACGUAUCAAGCUGUCCUCCACAGGUGCCGCUUUUUUGCUAUGAAUACAGUACGCACAAAUAAACAGCACAGUACAAGCCUUACGUCGGCCAAUGGCCAUCCAGUAAAAUGGAGUAGGACAUUUAAACGUGUGCAUAAGGCAACGUCCGUCGUUAGAUGUGUUAUACGAAUCACACAAUUCGUAUGAUGUGUUAUAUCUUCUUAGCCGCCGACGUACCUAUCGGACGGCUCCUAUGAACAAGGAACUUUUUUUUUAGUUAACUCAUCAAGAGGAAUAGGUACUAAAUAGCGUAGGCAAUAAAUCGACUGAGUGAUUUAAAACGAAGCAAAGACUAUCAUGAAAUAGAGUUUAAUGUGUUUAAUGUUUGAAUUUACGUAAACUGUAAAAAAACAUAGGUAAACAUGUGAGUGACGAAAGGCACAAGAAUUGUUUCGAAAUUCUUAUUCUCAUUAUGAUUCCUGCAGUAUGAAAUAGUUACUUGCUGUAACAGUACACGUGACCGUACAUUGUACCACGUAACUUAUAAUCAAGUGCCUUACACGUCGUAGAUAGCUGCCCGAUAACGAAUAAGCCGUUCAUGAUAGCGGUCGUAUUUGGAUAGGUACCGCUUCAAGGUUGCGUCAGACUAAUCGCAUUUCAUUAAAAUACUCGAAGGAUAAGGCAAACUUGUUUCUAUAGAUGACUUUCUAGGCCCUUGUCUUAUAGAAGUAGAAGUUCUAGGAUGGUAAAGCACGUCUCCAAAAGACGUUGCAGGAAGCGUCCCUUUAUCAGGAUAGGACCUAGGCUACGUUUUAGUAAUAAUUAAAUAUUAUACUGUCUCGUUCAGCUCGUAUCAGUUCAGAAGUGAGAUCGUGGGCUCGUGUGUGGAAGUUUCGUACUGCUCCUCCUGGGGCUUCGGCGCGAUCACGACGCAUUUUAUUUUCCGUUUCACAGACCUGAAAGCGACAGGCUUCAUCAGAAAAUCACAUUGGGCAUAUUUGGACGGCAGAUGGGCAUGCACGAUACCAUGGUCCAGUCAAGCGCAUAAUUCGAGCGAGUAAACUAGGCCUUCUCGCGUAGUGCCCGCAGUUCGUUUUAAGAUAUGCUGGCUGAAGUGGGUUACAAAGUAACUUUUGGAGUUUUUACAAACAACAGAUCUUUCAACUUGGCCAUUACUUUGAGAGCGGAGCGGCGUUGAACGUAUAUAACAAGAUCUCCAUAGCAAACAGAGUGUUUUUUUGAAUAUUCUCAAUGUGAACUGCGUGCCGCUGUCAACACAGGAAUAAGUACCUUUGGAUUUUCACGCCCUGCAAAUGUAGAUGUUAGUUUUGUGUAGUCGAUGCUGGUGUACCUGUUCGCAGCGGACUCGCUUCAGACCAACUUCAAUUAUAUAGCACAAUAAAAUCGGUAUUGUAAAUUACUUUAUGGCUUAUUAGGUUCAAAUCAUUUUCUUUAACUGUUUUUAAUGGGGCUCUUCGGAUAGCAGAUGAUAAAGCUUAUUCGGUGUCUUCAGCCACCACAAAGGCCAAAACAAGCAGAAACAAGCUAAUCGUUUCAUUAUUACGAUACCUGUGUAUCCUCUUUGAAGUAUCUUUAGCGAAUCGAAACCCAGUACCUGUGAGCAAUGACGGUGAUUCCAUCCAAGAGAAAAAUAGUUCUUAACUUUAUGAGAACUCCACAAGACGUGCCAGUUUUUGAUAUUAUGCCAGGCCAAUAAUUACUUUCACAAAGUCUAUAUCAGGUUAUCGUCUUAAAUCAAGUCCCGUCGCUUUUACAAUGCAAAAAGGGAAAAACCUGAAAUAUAGUUGAUUCAUGGAUCGUCAUUUUCAUUACAUAAUUCGAACUCGCUAUAUCUCUUGUGUUGUAGUACGUUGUUUAUCUUGCAUACCUGCAAACUAACAAUACUUGAUAUUGUCAUCUACGGAAUAACACUUUUGGGAACCCCUUUUGCAUUGAGCACUUUGGCCAUACAGUGACGAUGGCAGCUCCUUAACUCAGCUGAAAUCUGUUCCUAUAGGAGGAUCGGACACGAUGAGUACUGCAUGCAGCGUGAUAGUCCUGAUAUCUGUGAGCCUCCAUCACACAACGAUACAUCUACACGUUAGAUACGUAAGCUUGUAGGGUGUGAAUAAUUGAUUGAAUAUGUAUUAGAGCGUACUCUAGUCAAUCACCCAUACUAUCUGGGAGCGUGCCCACGUUGAACAGAGGGCUUCCAAGAAGAGUUCGUCAUACUGCGCGAAAAACGCUAUGACUCUAGAGAACUAAUAGCAUUUCGCAAUCGAAAAUAAUAAUACCACUGGCAACAGAAGCAGACCUUCGUUAGUUUUGCUGAAAUGAAUAUAUUUGUCGCAGGUCCGCUUUAGGAUAGCACCGUAAAAGAGGCAAGUCGUGAGACUGAUGUAUGAAACUCUUAUCGAUAUUUGCAUUUGUCGCGAGUGUGCAUGGAGAUAAUAUGUGAUACAAUUAUCCGCUGAGUAAAUUUAAAAGUUAUCCCGUUUUCUAACAAAGUUCACCUCUCGCCGCUAUGAUAAGCGAACCUUUUAUGUUGCUGGCUGAUAACACAGCUGAAUAAUACAUGAGCGGCUGUCGUAUGAUUAGCAUUUCAGCCUGAGUUAAAACUGCCGCGAGUCCUCGAAAAUGUAUGCCGUUUAUUUCUAGAAUUUUUCGAAGCACACCCUUCACGACUUAAACAAGUUGUUUGUGCUAGGGACCGGAACCCAUAAGGGCCGCACCUGUUUGCUGUCGAU